RNAcentral lists this ribosomal RNA (549 nucleotides) under Lodderomyces parapsilosis. Its description in RNAcentral is "Candida parapsilosis partial large subunit ribosomal RNA". It matches the Rfam family "Eukaryotic large subunit ribosomal RNA", at positions 249 to 818 of the family's 3401-position model. The record is from RNAcentral. Lineage: Eukaryota; Fungi; Ascomycota; Pichiomycetes; Serinales; Debaryomycetaceae.
AAGUUCCUUCGAAGAGUCGAGUUGUUUGGGAAUGCAGCUCUAAGUGGGUGGUAAAUUCCAUCUAAAGCUAAAUAUUGGCGAGAGACCGAUAGCGAACAAGUACAGUGAUGGAAAGAUGAAAAGAACUUUGAAAAGAGAGUGAAAAAGUACGUGAAAUUGUUGAAAGGGAAGGGCUUGAGAUCAGACUUGGUAUUUUGUAUGUUACUCUCUCGGGGGUGGCCUCUACAGUUUACCGGGCCAGCAUCAGUUUGAGCGGUAGGAUAAGUGCAAAGAAAUGUGGCACUGCUUCGGUAGUGUGUUAUAGUCUUUGUCGAUACUGCCAGCUUAGACUGAGGACUGCGGCUUCGGCCUAGGAUGUUGGCAUAAUGAUCUUAAGUCGCCCGUCUUGAAACACGGACCAAGGAGUCUAACGUCUAUGCGAGUGUUUGGGUGUAAAACCCGUACGCGUAAUGAAAGUGAACGUAGGUAGGACCUCCUUUAGGAGUGCACUAUCGACCGAUCCUGAUGUCUUCGGAUGGAUUUGAGUAAGAGCAUAGCUGUUGGGACCCG